Molecule: ribosomal RNA, 253 nt
Filed under: uncultured bacterium
Lineage: Bacteria
Description: partial 16S ribosomal RNA
Rfam family: Bacterial small subunit ribosomal RNA
Source: RNAcentral
GACAGAGGGGGCAAGCGUUGCUCGGAAUUACUGGGCGUAAAGGGCGCGUAGGCGGCCAUCUAAGUCAGACGUGAAAUCCCCCGGCUUAACCUGGGAACUGCGUCUGAUACUGGACGGCUUGAGUAUGGGAGAGGGAUGUAGAAUUCCAGGUGUAGCGGUGAAAUGCGUAGAUAUCUGGAGGAAUACCGGUGGCGAAGGCGGCAGCCUGGACCAUUACUGACGCUGAGGCGCGAAAGCUAGGGGAGCAAACGGG